CACCGAGAAACAUCCCUCCUGCCGUAUUUACAGCGUUCUAAAGCACAUAGAAUUUUGCCACUUGUAUGCAUCUCUUUGUUGGCAAAAAACAUCCUUUAUUUUCUAGCUACUACAAGGGCUUCUCUCUCUCUCUCUCCCCCUUUUGUUCUUUUAUCUAUUUUUAAGCACGAGCCUCAGUCAUCUUGAGCAAAUACUUUGAAUGCCUCGAAGGUGCAAUUCUUGGAAUUACACUGAGUACAAGUCGUUGCCUCCUGGAGAUAAAGUAAAGGACUUGCAGUACUUAUUUAGUCUAAACAGUUCAGGUGUUUGUAUUUCCUAUCUGGACUAUCACCAACUACUCAUCAAAACACAUCUAGAAAUUAAUGAGUCAGCUGCAUGUGGACGAAAUUUUAUGGGCAAAUUAAGCUGUCACCGGCCUUUUGGUGAUUGUAUUCAAACACUUGUUCGAGUCAGUUUCGAGGUAUGUUUUGAUAAAUAGCUCAUAAUUCAGAUAGUAAACACAAACACUUGACAGUUUAGAUAGAAAAUUCGCAAAAGAGUAAUCCUUUACAUAUGUUUUUACCAUAAUCUUUU
Molecule: long non-coding RNA, 573 nt
Organism: Lycium barbarum (goji berry)
Lineage: Eukaryota; Viridiplantae; Streptophyta; Magnoliopsida; Solanales; Solanaceae
Exons: 3
Source: RefSeq, a predicted model, not a curated record